UUACUGGGAUGCUUUUGCUUGUCUGUCCUUGGCUUCAACAUCAGCUCAAUGUUUUCAGAAACAAAGAGUAUGUAACCACUGAGAGCAUCCUCCACGUGAAUUAAGAAUGAGAGCUACCAAACCGCUGCCCUGGGAGAGCAGGGAGAGUGCCAACAUCACAGAACUGCUUGGAUUUUGAUAGUACUGUUGAGGAAUGUGUACCUAUAGAGAUUGCAUCAAUGGUACCUACAUUACUGCAGGCAAACAAAAUGUGUGUCUUCAUUAGAAGAGUCUGGCUGUAAUGAAAAAGCUGGUGGGGGGGAGGAGAGGAGAUGGUUUGCUUUAUGAGCUGGGAUGCCAGUUUUGCAAGGAUAGGAUGCCAGCUACCAUUCAGUUUGUUCUUGGAAGACAUUCAGUGAACUGCUGGUUGCUUGGAGGGAGACUGAAACACACUGUAGUGUCAGUUCUGAAAUCCAAAACGCUUCCACUUUUCCUCUUCUAUUUAGUGCUUCGGCAUGCGAAAUUGGACACUGGUGAACUGAGAUGAAUUGGUUCAGUGGUUCCACUCACCAUUCCCAUGGCUGUAACCCUUAUCUGUGGCUAAGCAGAUUCUGCUUGUGAAAAGGCCUGAGAC
This is a long non-coding RNA of Pezoporus flaviventris, 613 nucleotides long. RefSeq lists it as uncharacterized. The record is from RefSeq and is a predicted model, not a curated record. NCBI's taxonomy places the organism in Eukaryota, Metazoa, Chordata, Aves, Psittaciformes, Psittacidae. The transcript is spliced from 2 exons.